CUUUUGAGUAUGGCUGCAAUAUAAUUGUCUUAUCAGGCGUCCUCACAAGUUACUUGCAUUCAGGGUUUGAUGUUGGCAUAGGUUUGGGUUUAUGUUGGCGAUUUUUGUUCUGGGGGCCUUAGACUCAGCUGGUAGAGCACCUGCUUUGCAAGCAGGGGGUCGUCGGUUCGAUCCCGACAGGCUCCACCAUGAAAGUAUUUAUGGGUCUGUAGCUCAGGUGGUUAGAGCGCACCCCUGAUAAGGGUGAGGUCGGUGGUUCGAGUCCUCCCAGACCCACCAAUGUUAUAUCAAUUAUUCUGAAUGUGGUUUGCGCAUUUUUUAUGCUUAUCAGCCUUGGAGCUGUGAAGCGUUCUUUUAUAAUUUGAUGAUGUAGCAAGCGUUUGAACUUUUUGUUAAUAAUUUCUCAUUGGAAGCCUUAAGUGACAAUGUUUAUCCAUUGUCUUGUAGAUUUUGAGGCGACUUUGGGUUAUAUGGUCAAGCGAAUAA
RNAcentral lists this unclassified non-coding RNA (486 nucleotides) under Xylella fastidiosa. RNAcentral describes it as "partial 16S-23S ribosomal RNA intergenic spacer". The stretch from base 203 to 276 matches the Rfam family "tRNA". The record is from RNAcentral. Lineage: Bacteria; Pseudomonadati; Pseudomonadota; Gammaproteobacteria; Lysobacterales; Lysobacteraceae.